This 3648-nucleotide long non-coding RNA is filed under the name Sus scrofa (pig). RNAcentral describes it as "lncRNA (ENSSSCG00000053843.1)". The record is from RNAcentral. Lineage: Eukaryota; Metazoa; Chordata; Mammalia; Artiodactyla; Suidae.
AAGAGUCCCCUCUUCAGUUGUGAUCUUGCUUAAUGAGUAUUAACCUGUUUUAUCUCCCCUGAAAGAUUGUGAGUUUUCUGAUACAAGGUGUGAUGGACUAUAUUAGAUAUAGCAUAAUAGCUAUACUAGGUGAGGUCUCUAAGGAGGUGACAGUUGUUGAGGGACCAAUUAGGCAAAGAGCUGGGGUAAGAUGACCUGGUCAGAGGGGACAGCAUAGCUCCAAAGCAGAAAAGAGUUUGGUGGAGUUCCCAUCGUGGCGCAGUGGUUAACGAAUCCGACUAGGAACCAUGAGGUUGCGGGUUCGAUCCCUGGCCUUGCUCAGUGGGUUAGGGAUCCGGCGUUGCCGUGAGCUGUGGUGGGGGUCACAGACGCAGCUCGGAUCCCGUGUUGCUGUGGCUCUGGCGUAGGCCAGUGGCUACAGCUCCAAUUGGACCCCUAGCCUGGGAACCUCCAUAUGCCGCGGGAGCGGCCCAAGAAAUAGCAAAAAAAAAAAAAAAAAGAGUUUGGUGAGUUUGAGGGACAGGAAGGAUGAGCAAGAAAAAGAUGGAGAGACAUGAGAACAGAGUGGUCAUCAGGGUAGAUCAUAUCCCUUGUAGUUUGUAGUGUAUGGUAUGGAUUUUGAUCUUUUUUUUUUUUUUUUUGGCGUUUUAGGGCCACGCCUAAGGCAUAUGGGAGUUCCCAGGCUAGGGGUUGCACUGGAGAUACAGCUGUUGGCCUACACCACAGCCACAGCAACUCAGGAUCCCAGCGACAUCUGCAACCUUCACCACAGCUCACAGCAAUGCCAGAUCAUCGACCCACUGAGUGAGGACAGGGAUCGAACCUGCAUCCUCAUGGAUACUAGUUGGAUUCGUUUCCACUGCACCACCAUGGGAACUCCCGGUCUUUAUUCUUUUUUAAAAAAAUAUUUAUUUAUUAAAUUUUUUUAUCUUUUUGGCCAUGCCCAUGGCAUGUGGAAGUUCCAGGGCCAGGGACUGAACCUGAGUCCCAGCAGUGACCCAAGCCACUGCAGUGACAACACCAGAUCAUUAACACACUGCACCACAAGAGAACUCCUUGACCUUUAUUCUUAAUGCAUUUUAAAGCCCUUAAAGGAUGGCAAGCAAAAUAAUCCAUCCUGUAAUAUGACUUAAUAUUUUUUUCUUUUUUUUUUUUUGAUGUCCUCUGGCAUAUGGAGUUCCUGGGCCAGGGAUGGACUCUGAGCUGGAGUUGUGACCUACGCCACAGGUGCAGCAAAAUGCCAGAGCCUUAACCUCCUGCACUGGGCCAGGGAUCAAACCCGCCUCCUCCCUGCUGCUGCAGAGACACUGUCGAUCUCGUGCCACAGCCGGAACUCCUGAUUUAAUUUUUUAAAUUAUCUCUCUGCUUGUGAAGAACGAUUGUAGGGAGGCAAAAGAGGAAACAGAGAUCAGAUAAGAGGCUGUUGUGGCAAUCCGAGCGACAGGUAAACCCAGGUGAUUUAGCUGGGUUGUGGGGGCAGUGAAAAAUGGACAGAAAUGGUGACUUUGAUGUGUAUUUUGGUGGUAGAACCACAAGGACUUGCUGAUGUAUCGGAUAUGGAUGUGAGGGAAAGGGAAGAAUCAAGGAUAAGAACUAGAUUUUUGGCCCGUGUAACUGGGUGGACGCUAGACUCCAUCCCUUUAGAAUAUAUCCAGAAUCUGGUCAUAUCUCACUGGCUCCUCCACUCUGUCCUGAUCCAAGUCCCCUGGAAUCAUUGCCUCUCACUUGCACUAUUGCACAGUUCCCUAAUGAGUCUUCCAGCUUUCGUCUUUACCGCCCCUCCUCCAAUUUCUUCACAGCAGCCAGAAUAUUCACACCAAAGUGGAAAUCUCCUCGUGUCAAGCCUCUGUUCAAAAUCCUCCAUCAUUCUUGGAAUAAAAGGUCAUGGUCAGCCCGUUGCCCCUCUGACCUCAUCUCUUGCUCCUCUCACUUGCUGUUUUAAAAACUUCAGUCCCCAUCCCCUGUAUUCUCUCUCCCUUCCCUGCUUUGUCUCUUUAGCCCUUAUUAUUGCUUAAUGCAUGACAUAAUUUACUUUUUUUUUUUCUAUUUAUUAUAUGUCCCCCAGCAGAAGAAUGGAGGCUCUGUGCAGGCAGGGUGUUUUGUCUGUUUUGUUCACUGUUACAGUAGGUGCUCAGUAAAUAUUUGUUUACUAUGUGUGUUAAAUAAACUUAUGGGAAGGGGAAGUCUGUGGGAGGAGCAGGUUAGUAUAGGGGUGGAAACGGAGAAUUUUGUUUAGCCAUGUUAAGUUUGAGGUAUCUUGGCAGAUGUUGAGUAGAGAGGUGGGCCCACCAAUCCAGUUAGGAAGGAGGCCUGGGCUAGAGAUACCUAUCAGAGAAUCAGUAUCAUGAAGAUAAUGGCAAUGCCUAGGGAGGGAGUGUAGAUAGAGAAUAAGGAAGGUUCAAGACCUGUGUCUGGGUAGGGUAAGGUAGAGGAGGAGCCAGCAAAGGAAUAAAAAGAAGAGUGUGCUGGAGUUCCUGUCGUGGUACAGCGGAAAUGAAUCCGACUAGGAACCAUGAGGUUGCAGGUUUGAUCCCUGGCCUCGCUCAGUAGGUUAGGGAUCCGGCGUUGCCAGGAGCUGUGGUGUAGGUCGCAGAUGCGGCUUGGAUCUGGCAUUGCUGUGGCUCUGGUGUAGGCCGGCAGCUAUAGCUCUGAUUCGACCCCUAGCCUGGGAACCUCCAUAUGCCGUGGGUGUGGCCCUAAAAAGACCAAAAGGGGGGGGGAAUAGGAGGAGUGAAGAGUGUGGAUAAGAAGAAAAGUUAGCAAGUGGCACCAAUCACCCAACCUCCAGUUGACUGUCCCUGGCUCAGAGUAAUCUUUCAUAGUGCAGCACCCUUCCCCUGGGAGAGAUGUGGCUUGUUGCGGGGGCCACAAUCACGGUUUCUCCUAGAUCUUUGUUCAGGGGCCCGAACUCCUUCAUUUGGGGGAUUAGGAAAUGAUGGUUAAGAAUACAGACCCUGGGAGUUCCUGUUGUGGCUCAGCGGCUUAACAAACCCGACUAGUAUCCAUGAGGAUGCAGGUUUGAUCCCUGGCCUUGCUCAGUGGGUUAAGGAUCUGGCAUUGCCAUGAGCUAUGGUGUAGGUCACAGAUUUGGUUCGGAUCCUGUGUGGCUGUGGCUAGGGGUCCAAUCGGAGCUGUAGUCUCCGGCCUAGGCCAGGGCCACAGCAACGCGGGAUCCGAGCCGCGUCUGCAACCUACACCACAGCUCACGGCAACGCCGGAUCGUUAACCCACUGAGCAAGGGCAGGGACCGAACUCGCAACCUCAUGGUUCCUAGUCGGAUUCGUUAACCACUGCGCCACCACGGGAACUCCAGGAAAGCAAGUAUUUUUAAAAUGUUAGCUGUUGGACCGCUGCCACGCCACCAUCAUGGACACAAGCCUUGUGCAGCCCAUCCAGCUUGCCAGGGUUACCAAGGUUCUGGGCAGGACAGGUUCGCAGGGACAGUGCACACAGGUGUGCAUAGAAUUCAGGGGUGACACCAGCCAUUACAUCAUCCGAAACAUGAAAGACCCCGGUCGCCAGGGCGGUGUGCUCACCCUUUUGGAGUCAGAGUGAGAGCCUUUGCGGAACUUGUGGCUCGGUCCUGGAUGUCUGGGUCGACCACCUGGCCCACCAUGAUCUGCUGUUAAUAAAGCGUUUAUAUUGUAU